CCUACGGGAGGCAGCAGUGGGGAAUUUUGGACAAUGGGCGCAAGCCUGAUCCAGCCAUGCCGCGUGCAGGAUGAAGGCCUUCGGGUUGUAAACUGCUUUUGUACGGAACGAAAAGACUCUGGUUAAUACCUGGGGUCCAUGACGGUACCAUAAGAAUAAGCAUCGGCUAACUACGUGCCAGCAGCCGCGGUAAUACGUAGGGUGCGAGCGUUAAUCGGAAUUACUGGGCGUAAAGCGUGCGCAGGCGGUUAUGUAAGACAGAUGUGAAAUCCCCGGGCUCAACCUGGGAACUGCAUUUGUGACUGCAUAGCUAGAGUACGGCAGAGGGGGAUGGAAUUCCGCGUGUAGCAGUGAAAUGCGUAGAUAUGCGGAGGAACACCGAUGGCGAAGGCAAUCCCCUGGGCCUGUACUGACGCUCAUGCACGAAAGCGUGGGGAGCAAACAGGAUUAGAUACCCUGGUAGUCCACGCCCUAAACGAUGUCAACUGGUUGUUGGGUCUUCACUGACUCAGUAACGAAGCUAACGCGUGAAGUUGACCGCCUGGGGAGUACGGCCGCAAGGUUGAAACUCAAAUGAAUUGACGGCGNGAGAGNGCGAGGACGACGACGAGGGGAGGAGG
This 620-nucleotide ribosomal RNA is filed under the name uncultured bacterium. RNAcentral's name for it is "bacterial SSU rRNA". It matches the Rfam family "Bacterial small subunit ribosomal RNA", at positions 338 to 956 of the family's 1533-position model. The record is from RNAcentral.